UACAGGGGGUGCGAGCGUUGCUCGGAAUCACUGGGCGUAAAGCGUACGCAGGCGGACCGUUAAGUCGGGUGUGAAAGCCCGGGGCUCAACCCCGGAAUUGCAUUCGAUACUGGCGGUCUUGAGUACGGGAGAGGUGAGUGGAAUUCCUGGUGUAGAGGUGAAAUUCGUAGAUAUCAGGAGGAACACCGGUGGCGAAAGCGGCUCACUGGCCCGAUACUGACGCUCAUGUACGAAAGCGUGGGGAGCAAACAGG
This 253-nucleotide ribosomal RNA is filed under the name uncultured bacterium. Its description in RNAcentral is "partial 16S ribosomal RNA". It matches the Rfam family "Bacterial small subunit ribosomal RNA", at positions 524 to 776 of the family's 1533-position model. The record is from RNAcentral.